CCAGGUAGCUCAGUCGGUAGAGCAGUGGACUGAAAAUCCUCGUGUCGGCAGUUCGAUUCUGUCCCUGGCC
RNAcentral lists this transfer RNA (70 nucleotides) under marine eukaryotic metagenome. It matches the Rfam family "tRNA". Rfam says of the family: Transfer RNA (tRNA) molecules are approximately 80 nucleotides in length. The record is from RNAcentral.